ACAAUAAUCCAAGCAAGGAACAGCCCAAUUCCAUCACAUUCUUGGAGUAAUCCAUUAGUAUUUCCCUGCAUGGUCUUGGAAAUUCUUCUGGACUGGGAGGAUUAGGAGCCAUUGAAAAGCAAAAGGAGUCUCUCCAAUUUGCAGCUGGAACCGAAGGGCUAUACAAAUCAAAAUUGCUAUUAUGAACCACCUUCUUCAUGAUAUCUCGAGUGUAAUAUUGUUUCUUAACCUCUAUAUCUUGCUCAAAAAACUCACGUGUUCCUUGCAGCAUUCCUUCCAGAACAGAUGUUGGAAUGCCAUGA
Molecule: unclassified non-coding RNA, 302 nt
Filed under: Hevea brasiliensis (rubber tree)
Lineage: Eukaryota; Viridiplantae; Streptophyta; Magnoliopsida; Malpighiales; Euphorbiaceae
Source: RNAcentral